AAGUCGUAACAAGGUCUCCGUUGGUGAACCAGCGGAGGGAUCAUUAUAGAGUUCUAAACUCCAAAACCCAUGUGAACCUACUUUUGUUGCCUCGGCAGGACGCUACCCGGCGAUGCCCUACCCGGUGAGAACUUACCCCGUAACGACCUACCCUGUAGGAACUUACCCGGUGAGGGCUUACCCGGGGACGGCCUACCCGGUAGGUGACCCGGACUGCCAGAGGACCACUAAACUCUAUUUGCCGAAGUGAAAUCUGAGCUCUUUAUACAAAUAAGUUAAAACUUUCAACAACGGAUCUCUUGGUUCUG
RNAcentral lists this unclassified non-coding RNA (308 nucleotides) under fungal sp. Its description in RNAcentral is "partial internal transcribed spacer region". The stretch from base 1 to 46 matches the Rfam family "Eukaryotic small subunit ribosomal RNA", at positions 1786 to 1831 of the family's 1831-position model. Lineage: Eukaryota; Fungi. The record is from RNAcentral.